ACUGUGAGACAAUACAUUUCUGUCGUUAAGCCACUCUGGCUGUGGUACGUUGUUAUGGCAAAGCCCUAGCAAACUGAUACACCAGCUUAAGUGCAUUUGUAGCAAGGAGAUAUCUGUCAGCUCUGGUCACCAGGCUGGUGACCCUCCUGUCACCCAGGAAGCGCUCCUCUGCCCUUAACCUCAGUCCUCCCCAGGGAGGUGCCAGAGGAGGUCUGACAGCAGCCUUCACCUUUUGUAACCAAGCAAGCUGGCCUCACAAGGCACAGUGGUCUCCGUUACGGCUAGGUUCCUGAGAGUUCCAGGCUUCCUCGACAUGAGCAAGCUGGGCCACAGGGAGAUGCUGCUUUGCUGCUGAGGAACGUGAUGACCCCCAAACAGAGAGUCUAUGCUCACAGCCAUCAUCAAGGACAAUGGAGAGAUCUGGUGUGGCAGCUCCCAGUCUGUAACUCCAGAGGGUCAACAUUCCUAACCCCCUCCCCUGUGACCCACCGGCCUACAUAACUGCUUCCAGAUUCUGUGCCUCCUUAAGAUGGUUCUUUUGGACAUUAGUCAGCCAUCGUCCCUCUUGCUAGCAAGCUGGAAUAAGAUGCCCUUUCUCUGCCGCCAUCUUGCCUCUUGACGAUUGGCUUUUAUCUCACGUUACUGGCGUGGUUCUUCUCUCCUCCCUGGACCCCGACGGACCCAGAGCCCACUGCAGUUAUACACGGACCCGCCAGUUCCAAAGACAGACCCUUGUGAUGACGCUGGGCCAGCAGAAUGAUCCAGAAUAAUCUCCCCGUCUCAAGAUCCUUAACUUCACCACAUCUGCAAUGUCCCUGUUGCCAGACGCUCCAGGGCACCGUACAGUGUGGUUGAAAGCGUGACCUGGCUGAAGUCAAACCCCGGCUCUGACAUUUACCAGGUGUGCAAAGUAUUGAGCAAAGCAUUUCUCUGUCCCUCAGUUUCUUCUUCCGUAUAGCGGGUUAAUAAGAGUACCCGUCCCCUAGGCUUGCUGUGAAGACGAAAUGAAGUGAUAUGUGUAAAAUGCUAAGCACACGCCUAGCAUGCAGUGCUUGCUCAGCAAAAUGAGCGAGGUCUAAGUGUUGUUUCCAGGAAGGUCUGGACUAAUCAUGGAGAUAAGUUCAAGAAUCUGCUUAAUAAACUGAGAGCCCACUUGAUCCUGAUUCUACGUUUCUGGCACAGAGUCUGAGAGAAUAGCGACAAAUAUAACAGAACUCUCUUCCUGUUUGAAAGUCAGCUGUGCCAUCUCGAGUGCGUUACUUCAUGUCUCUGAGGUUUCAGAGUCUUCAGCUGUGAAAUAGGCUAACCCAGCAGUUACCCCCGGAAUUGUGGCAAAGAUGAAGUGCCACCAAGCAUGUAAAGGAGGCAUUAGACAGCGGGAGCAGGAAUGACCAUCGCUCUUGUUAAGAACAAGCGAAA
RNAcentral lists this long non-coding RNA (1419 nucleotides) under Equus caballus (horse). RNAcentral describes it as "lncRNA (ENSECAG00000057448.1)". Lineage: Eukaryota; Metazoa; Chordata; Mammalia; Perissodactyla; Equidae. The record is from RNAcentral.